Molecule: long non-coding RNA, 666 nt
Filed under: Monodelphis domestica (gray short-tailed opossum)
Lineage: Eukaryota; Metazoa; Chordata; Mammalia; Didelphimorphia; Didelphidae
Description: lncRNA (ENSMODG00000036451.1)
Source: RNAcentral
CAUUAAGAAGGGCUGGGAAAGAAAGUGAAAUGAUUUAUGUAUCAUUUCAGGUUGUGAAAUAAGAAAUUAUAUGGUAAUUCUUCAGAAGACUAAUCCUCAGCAGAAGAAAAAACUAACCUGGAAUAUUUUUACUAUCUCCAUUAACACCCAGAAGACAGUAUAAAAGAAUUGCUGGAGUGUUGAAGAUAAGUGAUUUCUCCAGUAUCAUACAGAUGUCAUGCAUGAAAGACAGAAAUUGAAACCAGUGCUUCUUCUCUCCAAGGCUGGUUCUCUAAACAAUUUGCAGUACUGGCUCUUGAUUUUGCUUGAAGGAACAUAAUGCCAUUUGGAGGAAAACACAGAUGGACAAGCUAACUUUGAAAGUAACAUGCAUUUACCUUAUAUUGGAAACUUCAUGUGAGAGGGACUUUGGCAACUCUGUGGCUUUUCCGGACCUGGCCCUGGAACUUGAGCCUGGAGGAGCUCAGUGUGCGAACUCAGACUGCUUUCCUUGAAGGGACCACAUGGUGAGCAAUAAGGCUAACUCCCCUUUCCUUUGACCUUUCUGAAGGCACUAGCCUCUGAGAAGGCCCCUCAUCUUGGAGGAGGCCUUGUGGCUGGAAGCUGAGCUAGAUUUAAUCUUCUGGGAAGGCCCCUUGGCUGAGAGGCCUCUGAACUCCCCCUGGU